GCUUGCUUGGUGGAUCAGUGGCGAACGGGUGAGUAACACGUGAGCAACCUGCCCUGGACUCUGGGAUAAGCGCUGGAAACGGCGUCUAAUACUGGAUAUGAGACGUGAUCGCAUGGUCGUGUUUGGAAAGAUUUUUCGGUCUGGGAUGGGCUCGCGGCCUAUCAGCUUGUUGGUGAGGUAAUGGCUCACCAAGGCGUCGACGGGUAGCCGGCCUGAGAGGGUGACCGGCCACACUGGGACUGAGACACGGCCCAGACUCCUACGGGAGGCAGCAGUGGGGAAUAUUGCACAAUGGGCGGAAGCCUGAUGCAGCAACGCCGCGUGAGGGAUGACGGCCUUCGGGUUGUAAACCUCUUUUAGCAGGGAAGAAGCGAAAGUGACGGUACCUGCAGAAAAAGCGCCGGCUAACUACGUGCCAGCAGCCGCGGUAAUACGUAGGGCGCAAGCGUUAUCCGGAAUUAUUGGGCGUAAAGAGCUCGUAGGCGGUUUGUCGCGUCUGCUGUGAAAUCCCGAGGCUCAACCUCGGGCCUGCAGUGGGUACGGGCAGACUAGAGUGCGGUAGGGGAGAUUGGAAUUCCUGGUGUAGCGGUGGAAUGCGCAGAUAUCAGGAGGAACACCGAUGGCGAAGGCAGAUCUCUGGGCCGUAACUGACGCUGAGGAGCGAAAGGGUGGGGAGCAAACAGGCUUAGAUACCCUGGUAGUCCACCCCGUAAACGUUGGGAACUAGUUGUGGGGACCAUUCCACGGUUUCCGUGACGCAGCUAACGCAUUAAGUUCCCCGCCUGGGGAGUACGGCCGCAAGGCUAAAACUCAAAGGAAUUGACGGGGACCCGCACAAGCGGCGGAGCAUGCGGAUUAAUUCGAUGCAACGCGAAGAACCUUACCAAGGCUUGACAUACACCAGAACACCGUAGAAAUACGGGACUCUUUGGACACUGGUGAACAGGUGGUGCAUGGUUGUCGUCAGCUCGUGUCGUGAGAUGUUGGGUUAAGUCCCGCAACGAGCGCAACCCUCGUUCUAUGUUGCCAGCACGUAAUGGUGGGAACUCAUGGGAUACUGCCGGGGUCAACUCGGAGGAAGGUGGGGAUGACGUCAAAUCAUCAUGCCCCUUAUGUCUUGGGCUUCACGCAUGCUACAAUGGCCGGUACAAAGGGCUGCAAUACCGUAAGGUGGAGCGAAUCCCAAAAAGCCGGUCCCAGUUCGGAUUGAGGUCUGCAACUCGACCUCAUGAAGUCGGAGUCGCUAGUAAUCGCAGAUCAGCAACGCUGCGGUGAAUACGUUCCCGGGUCUUGUACACACCGCCCGUCAAGUCAUGAAAGUCGGUAACACCUGAAGCCGGUGGCCCAACCCUUGUGGAGGGAGC
RNAcentral lists this ribosomal RNA (1364 nucleotides) under Microbacterium sp. RNAcentral describes it as "bacterial SSU rRNA". It matches the Rfam family "Bacterial small subunit ribosomal RNA", at positions 78 to 1453 of the family's 1533-position model. The record is from RNAcentral. Lineage: Bacteria; Bacillati; Actinomycetota; Actinomycetes; Micrococcales; Microbacteriaceae.